UUAAAAUAUAGUUGUCAGUCUCUCAUUAUUCUAUCUUUAAGGUAUGACGAAAUUCUCAACAGUCUCCACACUGAUUAUUAUCGACACUGUACUCUCCUUUGGUCUGAAGCUCCAGCUGGAUUGCUCUAGUCUUGGGCAAGCUGGCAACCCUUUCUAUGUGAUCAAGGCUCUCUCCUGACACAUUCAGUAGGACUCUCCGGAGAAUCUUGACAUACUUAAUUCUAAUACAAGCCUCAAUCUGCUGGUGGGACUUUUUUAAACUUCAUACCACUAUUGCAGUAUUCUUUUGAAAACCAACUGGUCAAUGUAGGUACUAAUUAAGUAGACUUUGUGUAGAAGAGUAUCCAUAUGGCUUAUUCUGGCUUAUACAAUUUACUGGUCCAUAGUGCGUCAUUUAUUCCAUGAACUCUGGAAUCCUGUUUCAGAGUCCCAGAAGACCAAACAGAGGCUGUAAUGCAUACUCUGAUCCUCCUUCUCAUCCCUGAGUUUGAGAAGGAGCUGAAUGCUCUUCAGGGAGGGUUACCAUCUUAGGACUCCUCCUAGACAGGAUAGAGUCCUCAGGCGGUAAUCACUUUUUUUGUUUGUUUGUGUGUCUGGCAUUUUCCUCACCAAUAUAAAAUGAAAAAUAUGCUAUGGUCAAAUUUUUGCUUUUGAUUUUAUGGAUAUGGAGUAGCUUUAAGUAAACAGAUAUAAUACUUAAUUUCAGGAAGUUACAUGCUUAAAGAUGAACCAGAGUUUUUGUUCUGUUUUACCAGAAGCAGAAUUCCCCUUUGUGGUCUUCAGCUUGCAUGUCUGAAGCACAGCCUGGCCUUUUGGGGUACUCCCAGACAUAGUCACAUGUGGAGACUUCCUGGCUGGAGUCUUGGUCAGUGACCGUUUAUGCUCAUUAUCUUUGGUAGCAGCUGAAAACCUAAACAGGACAGUGGGGUACAAGACAUUAGUGCUUAUGUCAAGAGUAACUUGUAUCAAACACACACCUGUCACCAAGUAGCAAAAGGACUCAAUAAAUAUUUAUGUGAAUGAA
This is a long non-coding RNA of Leopardus geoffroyi (Geoffroy's cat), 1024 nucleotides long. RefSeq lists it as uncharacterized. The record is from RefSeq and is a predicted model, not a curated record. The transcript has 2 exons. Lineage: Eukaryota; Metazoa; Chordata; Mammalia; Carnivora; Felidae.